This 134-nucleotide ribosomal RNA is filed under the name uncultured eukaryote. Its description in RNAcentral is "partial small subunit ribosomal RNA". It matches the Rfam family "Eukaryotic small subunit ribosomal RNA", at positions 1651 to 1787 of the family's 1831-position model. The record is from RNAcentral.
CCCUGCCUUUUGUACACACCGCCCGUCGCACCUACCGAUUGAGUGGUCCGGUGAAGCCCUCGGACCGCGGCCGGCACCCUCCGGGGUCCGGCUACGGGAAGUUGGCUAAACCUUACCACUUAGAGGAAGGUGAA